AGAACGAACGCUGGCGGCAUGCCUAAUACAUGCAAGUCGAACGAACUCUUCGGAGUUAGUGGCGCACGGGUGCGUAACGCGUGGGAAUCUGCCCUUGGGUUCGGAAUAACAGUUGGAAACGACUGCUAAUACCGGAUGAUGACGAAAGUCCAAAGAUUUAUCGCCCAGGGAUGAGCCCGCGUAGGAUUAGCUAGUUGGUGAGGUAAAGGCUCACCAAGGCGACGAUCCUUAGCUGGUCUGAGAGGAUGAUCAGCCACACUGGGACUGAGACACGGCCCAGACUCCUAACGGGAGCAGCAGUAGGGAAUAUU
RNAcentral lists this ribosomal RNA (311 nucleotides) under uncultured soil bacterium. RNAcentral describes it as "bacterial SSU rRNA". It matches the Rfam family "Bacterial small subunit ribosomal RNA", at positions 26 to 365 of the family's 1533-position model. The record is from RNAcentral.